RNAcentral lists this transfer RNA (72 nucleotides) under Mycobacterium tuberculosis variant bovis. Its description in RNAcentral is "partial Val tRNA". It matches the Rfam family "tRNA". From Rfam's summary of the family: Transfer RNA (tRNA) molecules are approximately 80 nucleotides in length. Their secondary structure includes four short double-helical elements and three loops (D, anti-codon, and T loops). The record is from RNAcentral. RNAcentral also lists the same sequence under 73 other names. Lineage: Bacteria; Bacillati; Actinomycetota; Actinomycetes; Mycobacteriales; Mycobacteriaceae.
GGGCGCGUAGCUCAGCGGUAGAGCUCUGGUUUUACACACCAGCGGUCGGCGGUUCGAUCCCGUCCGCGCCCA